Thalassophryne amazonica is the source of this 852-nucleotide long non-coding RNA. RefSeq lists it as uncharacterized. NCBI's taxonomy places the organism in Eukaryota, Metazoa, Chordata, Actinopteri, Batrachoidiformes, Batrachoididae. The transcript has 4 exons. The record is from RefSeq and is a predicted model, not a curated record.
AUGUCCUCUGCUGAUCACAAAGAUGGCUGGAUCCGGUCGAGCUUGUGGUCGUUUGUAGACAAAACAUCAGUCUUUCCAUUGGUAUUAAGUGUUAGCUUAUUCACGCUCAUUACGAGAAACGGCGGCGCAAAUACAUGAUUCCGGCACCGGCAGUGAUCCAGAAGUGGGCAAGUGACUGUAGCGUAAUCGGGACCUGGAUAAAGUACAUGUCCCCGUUAGGGUUCGGGCAGGAUGGCUGUUCUAUGAUCCAAGUGGACUUGAAGAUAUUUCCACAAACAAGCGGAAUAUUGUUUUUCACAGUUGUCUUGACAACCAGCUUCUGAUGAGCACAAAUCUGCGUUGACCCUAAGAUGAACCCUGGCAGCUGCACCUGGCCAGAUCCGUCCGCUACGAACGCAGGCGUGUUUCCAGACGUGGAUCCAUUUCAGGUUUGUUUGUUUCUGUUUGUGCGGUCGACUCGCGGCGUGAUUCUCGUAACUGAAGCUCUGAAGUUGAGAGAAAAGAUGCAGCAAGUAUCAAAGUGUCGCUCCACAUAUCUGACGACAUUAUUCUUAAUCACCGAGACACAUUCUCCCUAAACGAACCCUUCCAGCUUGGAGCCACAGGAAAACCACAUCCUGCUGUUUCUCAACAAACUGACAUGCAGCGAGGCGCGUUAAAAAAAAAAAUCAUGUGUGAUGUGAUUCCUGAAAGCAGACGUAUCGUCAACUGGCGAGCAGAGCAGAGGAACACAGAGCGCCAAUGUGACGAGGACAGAAGAAGAAAGAAGACUAUGACCUUGCAGAGGCUGCUGGGUAAUAUCUGCUGCUUUACGACCAAGGAAAAUGUGAAACCAUGACGACGGACUUUGAG